Long non-coding RNA from Silurus meridionalis, 1090 nucleotides. RefSeq lists it as uncharacterized. The transcript has 4 exons. NCBI's taxonomy places the organism in Eukaryota, Metazoa, Chordata, Actinopteri, Siluriformes, Siluridae. The record is from RefSeq and is a predicted model, not a curated record.
GGGCACAGGAAAACAAAAACAUUACCAUUUCCAUGGCAACCACUGAGAUAAACAAUGCUUUAUGUCCCCUAAACAUUCUGUGAGUAGAUGGGACAUCAGCUAGUGGUAAAUAUGAAGAAAAUGACUUAAAGCCAGGAUGAUCACCAUAGCAACAAGCAAGAGAAAAAGCUGUGAUCGAACCCUGGGAGUGACCUUCAUUUAUUCCAUCUGUGAUGACACUGAAUACAUCCUGUCCAUCACCAUCCAAAAUGCUGUACCACAUCUCAGCAUUCUCCCCUGCAUCUGCAUCGUUGGCUUUUAUCCGACCAACAGAAGAUCCCACUUCCGCUGACUCGACCGUGGAGAGAUGGUACGCACCUUGGGAAGAACAAGGGAAUGGCUACGCAUCACAAUCAUAUUCACAAAGGACACAAUUACAUGAUCAAAGCCUCAUCAGAUGACUGACAUUUGACACAAAGGUCUAGUAGUGACAUCUGAAGACAUGACAUUAUUCUGCAUAAUCUGAAUAUGACACGUAGAAAACCAAUGUAUGCAUCUACAACAACAACGUUGGUGCACAAAUGUAUGUAAUUUUUGAACACAAUGUGGCAAAUGUCCCUCAGCUUGUAAUCAUUUUAUGUAUUGUUUUGUACUGGUUGGUAAUCAAGUGCAUAUAGAUCUCAAUGGCUGACUCUAAUGCAUAUAUGAUCUAAAUAAUUGACUGUCUCAGGAUAUUAGAUAGAAUAAUAGAAGUACCAACCAUUCAAUUAAAGCACGUUACUAUUUUUCUGCAAAUGUACUGAUAUAUCUGUAUUGGUGCAAGAAAAGGGUUCAAGGACAAAACAUAAUUUGCAGGGGUCAACAGGAUGCAACCGAUGGUCUUUAACUGAGUUACAUCUAUGGUAUUUUGUGCAAACCACUAAACCCUUAGAGUUGUUUGACUGUGAGUGGUUAGCAUAAAUAAUCACUGUAUUUAAGCCUGGAGGGAAAAGAACCACAGGAUACUGCAAUUUAUUUGUGUUUUAACCACCAUAAUGUGUUAUUCUAAACUAAUUAAAUAUGAUUUUGUGGCAGUGAAUAAACAAUUGGUAUUAAAUAUCAUCCACCACCA